AUGCUUAUGUGGUGGGAAAGAUGCCAUGACCACAAAAGUGAUUUUCCCAGAGUGAGGCUCAUCUAUUGCAUUUCAGACGUGCUGACCCCUAUGAUUUCCCAAAAUGCAGAAAAGUCGACUGCAUUAAUUUGUAGUAGUGGGGCACUUUGCUCAUGCUCUCCCCUA
Molecule: small nuclear RNA, 165 nt
Organism: Heterocephalus glaber (naked mole-rat)
Lineage: Eukaryota; Metazoa; Chordata; Mammalia; Rodentia; Bathyergidae
Gene: U1
Rfam family: U1 spliceosomal RNA
About the family: U1 is a small nuclear RNA (snRNA) component of the spliceosome (involved in pre-mRNA splicing). Its 5' end forms complementary base pairs with the 5' splice junction, thus defining the 5' donor site of an intron.
Source: Ensembl